This 67-nucleotide transfer RNA is filed under the name Salmonella enterica subsp. enterica serovar Agona str. 400095 19. RNAcentral's name for it is "tRNA-Gln". It matches the Rfam family "tRNA". Rfam says of the family: Transfer RNA (tRNA) molecules are approximately 80 nucleotides in length. Their secondary structure includes four short double-helical elements and three loops (D, anti-codon, and T loops). The record is from RNAcentral. Lineage: Bacteria; Pseudomonadati; Pseudomonadota; Gammaproteobacteria; Enterobacterales; Enterobacteriaceae.
UAUCGCCAAGCGGUAAGGCACCGGAUUCUGAUUCCGGCAUUCCGAGGUUCGAAUCCUCGUACCCCCA